UAGGGAAUAUUGGACAAUGGGCGCAAGCCUGAUCCAGCCAUGCCGCGUGCAGGAAGAAGGCCCUAUGGGUCGUAAACUGCUUUUGUACGGGAAGAAACCUCACUACGUGUAGUGAGUUGACGGUACCGUGAGAAUAAGGAUCGGCUAACUUCGUGCCAGCAGCCGCGGUAAUACGAAGGAUCCAAGCGUUGUCCGGAUUUACUGGGUUUAAAGGGAGCGUAGGUGGCCUUAUAAGUCAGUGGUGAAAUCUCUGGGCUUAACCCAGAAAUUGCCAUUGAUACUGUAGGGCUUGAGUACAGUUGCUGUGGGCGGAAUAUGACAUGUAGCGGUGAAAUGCUUAGAUAUGUCAUAGAACACCGAUAGCGAAGGCAGCUCACUAGGUCUGGAUUGACGCUCAGGGACGAAAGCUUGGGGAGCAAAC
RNAcentral lists this ribosomal RNA (421 nucleotides) under uncultured bacterium. Its description in RNAcentral is "bacterial SSU rRNA". It matches the Rfam family "Bacterial small subunit ribosomal RNA", at positions 355 to 773 of the family's 1533-position model. The record is from RNAcentral.